UACCAGCUCUCCGAGUGGUGUGGAUGUUUAUUGGGCCUAAAGCAUCCGUAGCUGGCUGGGCAAGUCCCCUGUUAAAUCCACCGAUUUAAUCGUUGGUGUGCGGGGGAUACUGUUCGGCUAGGGGACGGGAGAGGCCGACGGUAUUUUCGGGGUAGGGGUGAAAUCCUAUAAUCCCGGGAAGACCACCAGUGGCGAAGGCUGUCGGCUAGAACGCGCCCGACGGUGAGGGAUGAAAGCUGGGGGAGCGAACCGGAUUAGAUACCCGGGUAGUCCCAGCUGUGAACGAUGCAGGCUAGGUGUUGGCGCGGCUACGUGCCGCUCCAGUGCCGCAAGGAAGCCGUUAAGCCUGCCGCCUGGGAAGUACGGCCGCAAGGCUGAAACUUAAAGGAAUUGGCGGGGGAGCACCACAAGGGGUGAAGCUUGCGGUUU
RNAcentral lists this ribosomal RNA (429 nucleotides) under uncultured archaeon. Its description in RNAcentral is "bacterial SSU rRNA". It matches the Rfam family "Archaeal small subunit ribosomal RNA", at positions 474 to 903 of the family's 1478-position model. The record is from RNAcentral.